RNAcentral lists this ribosomal RNA (465 nucleotides) under Vreelandella stevensii. Its description in RNAcentral is "partial 16S ribosomal RNA". It matches the Rfam family "Bacterial small subunit ribosomal RNA", at positions 338 to 795 of the family's 1533-position model. The record is from RNAcentral. Lineage: Bacteria; Pseudomonadati; Pseudomonadota; Gammaproteobacteria; Oceanospirillales; Halomonadaceae.
CCUACGGGUGGCUGCAGUGGGGAAUAUUGGACAAUGGGGGGAACCCUGAUCCAGCCAUGCCGCGUGUGUGAAGAAGGCCCUCGGGUUGUAAAGCACUUUCAGUGAGGAAGAACGCCUGGUGGUUAAUACCCAUCAGGAAAGACAUCACUCACAGAAGAAGCACCGGCUAACUCCGUGCCAGCAGCCGCGGUAAUACGGAGGGUGCGAGCGUUAAUCGGAAUUACUGGGCGUAAAGCGCGCGUAGGUGGCUUGAUAAGCCGGUUGUGAAAGCCCCGGGCUCAACCUGGGAACGGCAUCCGGAACUGUCAAGCUAGAGUGCAGGAGAGGAAGGUAGAAUUCCCGGUGUAGCGGUGAAAUGCGUAGAGAUCGGGAGGAAUACCAGUGGCGAAGGCGGCCUUCUGGACUGACACUGACACUGAGGUGCGAAAGCGUGGGUAGCAAACAGGAUUAGAUACCCUGGUAGUC